Long non-coding RNA from Adelges cooleyi (spruce gall adelgid), 1353 nucleotides. RefSeq lists it as uncharacterized. NCBI's taxonomy places the organism in Eukaryota, Metazoa, Arthropoda, Insecta, Hemiptera, Adelgidae. The transcript is spliced from 6 exons. The record is from RefSeq and is a predicted model, not a curated record.
UUAAAAUAUAUUUUCAACUGAUAUUUAACUAAUAACCAGAAUAGUGACGUGCCAUACUCAAACUUAUUGAACUUAUUCGUUGAAAACUACUUACAAUUAAGUACAUAUUGUGUAAAAGUUUCUAACACUCGCAAUCCAAUCGUGUUCCGAUGUCGGAGAGGACACACCUUCGUAGUGUAAUAGUUCUAGUUACAAGUACCAGAACUAUUAAGAAAUGUGUAUGUUGUUCAAGUCGAAACCAAUUCAGGAAGAUGGAUUUGUAAAUAAUUUAAGACUUUUUAAAUUAUAAGUUUAAAUUUAUUACACAUGUAAAACAUAAAAUAGACAAACUGCCUGCUACAGAGUUGUAUCUUGCAUGAGUAUAGUAAUUCGUCAUAAUUAAAUAAUUCGAUAAAAUGGCAAUAACAUGUUUUUCCCAAAUAGCUUAUCUGAGCGGAACGGACUCUAAGUAGUUUUUAUAUAUAUAUUUGCAAUUUGAUUUAAUCACUACGCCAGAUAACCAUGCAGGUGUGCUCUGUACCGACCAUGAGUCAGCCUCUGUAUUUGUAUAAUAAGUAUGCCGAUUAUAACAGAUGCAUUGACUAUUCCACACCCAUCAGAGUGACAUCAUUAUAAUAUGAGUAAUAAUAAGCUUAGUGCAGUUGUGUGUUUGUGUAAAGGGCGUGUGAAGGUUAUAGCAUAUAACAGUAGCACAGACGACAGUGUAAACAAAAAUCCGGUUCUGGGCACUAUAUACUCCGGACACUUUAAGAAGGUACCUCGUCGAGUUGAAUGCGACCGGUUUCCACCCCACAACUUCAUCAUAACUCGACACCGCCUACGAGUUUUGGUCCGCCGCACAGGGAGUCGGAAAGAAAAAAGUAUCAUACAAUUUGGUCGAGAAUAUUUGAGAACUCGUUCACAUGGAUAAAAUUGUUCGGUCGUUAUUAAUCAAUAUGCAUAUAAUGAAAUUUCAGCAUUGAGACUUGGAGGGAUUUGUUUUCAUUGGUUGAAUCAUGCUUACGACAAUCAAUAGCAAGAGCAUCGUUCGAUCGUGCUAAGAGUGUUUUUGUCCUGUACUGAAAAAUUUAGAUGCUGAUCCUGAUGAAUGUUUUGUAAACUUGUACAAAAGUAUUGGUGAUGUCUUAUAAGACCAUUGCUAACGCAGCCAACGAGAGUGUCGAGCCCACGGUAUUUGAUUUCCACUGGCAGAGAAUGUGCUUGAAGUCUCUGUUAAUGACAUCUCCGAAACCGACCUCAAACCGUCGUACCGAUAUUGUGCAAACUGGGACGUUGGAUGUCAUAACCAAAGAUAUGGGACAUCAACAAUUUUCGAGCGAGGGUUUGAGGCUUUUUUGCGAGAAAUUUUAUGCA